GGCUUAGAGUUUGAUCCUGGCUCAGGACGAACGCUGGCGGCGUGCCUAAUACAUGCAAGUCGAACGGUCUUUUCUAUGGAAGCUUGCUUCCACUGAGAAGAUAGUGGCGAACGGGUGAGUAACACGUGGGUAACCUGCCCAUAAGAGGGGGAUAACAUCCGGAAACGGGUGCUAAUACCGCAUAGUUUUCUUGAUCGCAUGAUCGAGAAAGGAAAGACGGCCUUUGUGCUGUCGCUUAUGGAUGGACCCGCGGCGUAUUAGUUAGUUGGUGAGGUAAUGGCUCACCAAGACGAUGAUACGUAGCCGACCUGAGAGGGUGAUCGGCCACAUUGGGACUGAGACACGGCCCAAACUCCUACGGGAGGCAGCAGUAGGGAAUCUUCCGCAAUGGACGAAAGUCUGACGGAGCAACGCCGCGUGAGUGAAGAAGGUUUUCGGAUCGUAAAACUCUGUUGUCAGAGAAGAACAAGUCGGAGAGUAACUGCUCCSGGCCUUGACGGUAUCUGACCAGAAAGCCACGGCUAACUACGUGCCAGCAGCCGCGGUAAUACGUAGGUGGCAAGCGUUGUCCGGAUUUAUGGGGSKWAAGSGRGSSMRGGCGGUUCCUUAAKYCUG
RNAcentral lists this ribosomal RNA (615 nucleotides) under uncultured Trichococcus sp. RNAcentral's name for it is "bacterial SSU rRNA". It matches the Rfam family "Bacterial small subunit ribosomal RNA", at positions 1 to 591 of the family's 1533-position model. The record is from RNAcentral. Lineage: Bacteria; Bacillati; Bacillota; Bacilli; Lactobacillales; Carnobacteriaceae.